This 253-nucleotide ribosomal RNA is filed under the name uncultured bacterium. RNAcentral describes it as "partial 16S ribosomal RNA". It matches the Rfam family "Bacterial small subunit ribosomal RNA", at positions 524 to 776 of the family's 1533-position model. The record is from RNAcentral.
UACGUAGGGUGCGAGCGUUGUCCGGAAUUAUUGGGCGUAAAGGGCUUGUAGGCGGUCUGUCGCGUCUGCUGUGAAGAUCCGGGGCUCAACCCCGGACUUGCAGUGGGUACGGGCAGACUAGAGUGUGGUAGGGGAGACUGGAAUUCCUGGUGUAGCGGUGAAAUGCGCAGAUAUCAGGAGGAACACCGGUGGCGAAGGCGGAUCUCUGGGCCUUACCUGACGCUCAGGCGCGAAAGCUAGGGGAGCGAACUGG